Pocillopora damicornis (cauliflower coral) is the source of this 551-nucleotide long non-coding RNA. The record is from RefSeq and is a predicted model, not a curated record. NCBI's taxonomy places the organism in Eukaryota, Metazoa, Cnidaria, Anthozoa, Scleractinia, Pocilloporidae.
ACGGCUUUACAAAGACAGAGUUUGAACACCCUCAAGUGGAUUGGAACCUAAGAACUUCCGAUUGACGCCCGGUAGUUUGCAUCGCUGACAACUGAUCGUGGACCACCGCAAGCUAGACCUCUGUACCAAGUUCAUAGCUGACAUGAAUUCUGUAUACCCCUACAACAGGAACCGGGGGGAGGGGUAAAGCAUCUUCAAUAUCCUGUCCUUGUUCAAGCAUGCGCUCUAGCUCUAUAAGCCGUUUAACUGCAUCACAUAACUGCCGGAUAGAAUUCACCUAAGAAGAGAGAAAAAGAUUGUUGAGAGGAUGGCCAACUCUUAAUUAUUUAUGGCUCUUGGUCAGCAAAUAGGAUGGUGAAAGAGGACAAGGAAUCAUACUGCGUUGGGACAAACAAGUAGUCAGUAGGCUUUUAGUAUCCAUCGAAGUCUUGAAUCCUUCGGUAGGAGAUUUAAAAGAAGAUACAUAAUUAAAACUUCCGCAAAGGACGAGGAAGCGGGAAGGAACGGAAGAAUUUCAGUUUUCAAUGAAAUCAAUCAGGACGAAAGACGAA